GAUGAACGCUGGCGGCGUGCCUAAUACAUGCAAGUCGAACGAAACUUCUUUAUCACCGAGUGCUUGCACUCACCGAUAAAGAGUUGAGUGGCGAACGGGUGAGUAACACGUGGGCAACUUGCCCGAAAGAGGGGGAUAACACCUGGAAACAGGUGCUAAUGCCGCAUAACCAUCGUUACCGCACGGUAACUCUGUAAAACGUGGCUAUACUACCCUUUUUGGAUGGGUCAGCGGCGCAUUAGCUAGUUGGUAGGGUAAAGGCUUACCAAGGCAAUGAUGCGUAGCCGAACUGAGAGGUUGAUCAGCCACAUUGGAACUGAGACACGGCCCAAACUCCUACGGGAGGCAGCAGUAGGGAAUAUUCCACAAUGGGCGAAAGCCUGAUGGAGCCACGCCGCGUGGGUGAAGAAGGUCUUCGGAUCGUAAAACCCUGUUAUUAGGGAGGAAAGUGAGUGAGAGUAACUGUUCAUGUUUCGACGGUAUCUAACCAGAAAGCCACUGCUAACUACGUG
This 512-nucleotide ribosomal RNA is filed under the name uncultured bacterium. RNAcentral describes it as "partial 16S ribosomal RNA". It matches the Rfam family "Bacterial small subunit ribosomal RNA", at positions 28 to 507 of the family's 1533-position model. The record is from RNAcentral.